AAAAAGGGAAGGAGUAGAGAAGUUAUCCAGCCUGCUGACUAAGAAAUGGAAAUAGCCUAUGCUUUGCUGUCUAUCUCUCUCUAUCUCUCUCCGUCUGUCUGCCUGCCUGCCUAACUGACAUAUUGCUGAAGGGCAACAUAGUCAAUGUACUUGCUAGGCUAAGCGUAACUUAGUGAAGACCUUGAUUUGUCUCUGUCUUUACAGUUCCUGAAACAUGUCAAUGGCCUGAUGCAUGGCCUCUACAGAGGUGGUUGGCCACCCACUCAGUUACCAGUGACCUAUUCUGCCACAUCCCAGGGAAUUGAGAGCGCAGGACCACCCCUUCUUAAAUCCAUAGUAAUUGACACAGAGGGUUCUACCUGGAACCCAAAACGGUUCAAACUGGAACCAAAAAGGCUUUGCCUAUGAGGACAGCUGAACAACCUUUUGGACCCUUGUUUCUAAGAGUGUAGUGUGCAAAAGCCUUGUGUCCUGAUUCAACAGACACCUCCCCUGGUGAGUCAUGUAAAGUUUCCUGAUUCAACAAAACCUCCCCUGGUGAGUCAUGUAAAGUUUCCUGAUUGAACAAACACCUCCCCUGGUGAGUCAUGUAAAGUUUCUCCCAUUUCUCUCUUGCUCAUUCUCUCUUUCACUCCCUCAAACUCACACACAUGCAGAUGUAGAGAAGAGGAAGAGAUAUACCAAUUACAUCAAUUUCUAACACUGUUUGUUGCAGGAAUUAUAUGACAGACGCAUAACCUUUUGAACAAUAUAAUAUUUUACUGUCGCUUUAUUGCCUCUUUACACAUACUUACAUUUUUGCAUUUAACUUUGUUUUUUAAGACUGCCACGCUGUCCUAUAUUGGGGAACCUUGUCCAGGACAAUGACCUCAGGAUUAUGGAGCUGUGUGUUUAUAAAAAAAGUUUGAAUAUUACAACAUGUAUUAGGAUUAAGAUAAACUUGACCAUUUAGAGAGGAGUUCAACAUUUUCAUUAUUGAACUACUGUCUAAUUUUAAUAACCUCUUUCUUAAAAUAUUUCUGAUUGAUGACCAAUGGAUUAAUGUCCCACUUCAAAAUGAAGGGACAGAAGAGCAAACAUGCCUUUGCUACCACUUUUAGUAGAUUCUCACUGUUACAAAUCUUUUACUGUGUGUUACUGUUAUGUUCUGCAUGCCC
RNAcentral lists this long non-coding RNA (1157 nucleotides) under Salmo salar (Atlantic salmon). Its description in RNAcentral is "lncRNA (ENSSSAG00000084453.1)". Lineage: Eukaryota; Metazoa; Chordata; Actinopteri; Salmoniformes; Salmonidae. The record is from RNAcentral.